Molecule: ribosomal RNA, 496 nt
Filed under: Triatoma melanica
Lineage: Eukaryota; Metazoa; Arthropoda; Insecta; Hemiptera; Reduviidae
Description: eukaryotic LSU rRNA
Rfam family: Eukaryotic large subunit ribosomal RNA
Source: RNAcentral
UUUUAAAUGAUUUGAGAUGGCCUCUCGCCCUAUUCAGUGUAACAGCUGUGGUAGUGGGUUUGGUCGCUCGCAUUUAAAUUGGAAGGGUAAUGGUGGACCGCACUUCUCCCUUAGUAGGACGUUGCGACCUGUCAAAUAAUAUCCUAAGUAUUUGGCUAAUUUGUCUGUUUUUAGGCAGUACUGAAAGGUAUUUCCUUUAACAGUUUUAGCCGUUUAUAUACUGGAUAUAAUUGACAGUAACGAAUCAUGGUGUUGAGCCACUUACUUUGUAAGUGUCCUUUAUGGCUGUUUGCAAGUGGGUUGGUUAAUUAGUUUUAGUCGGAUUUUGGUCCGUCUAACUAUUCCGCCUACUGUUGGUAAACUGUUCCUUGGACAGUGCUUAUAACACCGGUCGGCAGCGAUUCAGGUUCAGGCUCUUAUCCGACCCGUCUUGAAACACGGACCAAGGAGUUUAGCGUGUACGCAAGUCAUUGGGUGUAUAAAACCCAAAGGCGCA